Molecule: ribosomal RNA, 500 nt
Filed under: uncultured bacterium
Lineage: Bacteria
Description: partial 16S ribosomal RNA
Rfam family: Bacterial small subunit ribosomal RNA
Source: RNAcentral
AUUGAACGCUGGCGGAAUGCUUUACACAUGCAAGUCGAACGGCAGCACGGACUUCGGUCUGGUGGCGAGUGGCGAACGGGUGAGUAAUACAUCGGAACGUGCCCAGUCGUGGGGGAUAACGUAGCGAAAGCUACGCUAAUACCGCAUACGAUCUAAGGAUGAAAGCGGGGGAUCGCAAGACCUCGCGCGAUUGGAGCGGCCGAUGGCAGAUUAGGUAGUUGGUGGGGUAAAGGCUCACCAAGCCGACGAUCUGUAGCUGGUCUGAGAGGACGACCAGCCACACUGGGACUGCGACACGGCCCAGACUCCUACGGGAGGCAGCAGUGGGGAAUUUUGGACAAUGGGCGCAAGCCUGAUCCAGCCAUUCCGCGUGCAGGAUGAAGGCCCUAGGGUUGUAAACUGCUUUUGUACGGAACGAAAAGGCCCUGGUUAAUACCUGGGGCUCAUGACGGUACCGUAAGAAUAAGCACCGGCUAACUACGUGCCAGCCGCCGCCGUAA